This 2429-nucleotide long non-coding RNA is filed under the name Homo sapiens (human). RNAcentral's name for it is "non-protein coding lnc-ANXA2R-1:29". Lineage: Eukaryota; Metazoa; Chordata; Mammalia; Primates; Hominidae. The record is from RNAcentral.
GAAAUCGCCGCCAGGGCUAGGCUGGUGUUUGUCCUAAGUGGGUACUUGCUUGGGUUGAGAAAUCACAUUUUGGCUAUUCCCCGACUUGAACCAGGGGAUAGAAAUCGUAGUCACCGGCUGGGCGCAGCGGCUCAUGCUGUAAUCCUGGCAGUUUGGGAGGCCGAGGCGGGCAGAUUAUUGAGGUUAGGAGUUCGAGACCAGCCUGGUCAAUAUGAUGAAACACCGCCUCUAGUAAAAAUACAAAAAUUAUCCGGGCGUGGUGGCGAGCGCCUGUAAUCCCAGCUACUCAGGAGGCUGAGGCAGUAGAAUCCCUUGAACCUGGGGUGCGGAGGUUGCAGUGAGCCAAGAUCGCGCCACUGCACUCCAGGCUGGGCGACACGGCGAGACUCUGUCUCAAAACAAAACAAAAGGAAAAGAAGAGAAAAGAAAAAGAAACGCAGGCACCCUGAAAUCGAAACUUGUUAGGACCAACAAGCCAACGACAGACGAAUCUGCGGGGUCCUGCGACAGACACGCCAGCCCCGCCGCCACAGCACAGGGUUCUGGAGGUCGAGCUGUUCUGCGGGUUCUGCGGCGGCGCUGGGAAGAGACGGCGCCCGGGCAGCUCCCCUGUCACCGGCUUGGAGGAGCGGCGGGCUCCCCUAGCCCAGCGCCGCCGCCGCCGCCCGGGAACGCCAGGCUCACCCCAGCUGGGGAAGCUCCGAAUCCCUCAGAUCGGCGACCUGAGUGCUGUCGCCCCGAGAAAAUGGAGGCAUCGAGCAACGAGCUGUGCUGAGACCGAGAGACCUCAGUUCUGCGAAAUGUCGGUGCCUGGAGCUUGCGAAUGACUGCGGCCGGCGGGUUGUCAAGGACAACAUUCCUUAUGGCGCAACCAACAGCGCUGUCACCAAGAAACUGGACUCUGAGAAAAAAGAGGGUUUCGGCCACCGAGAAACUCCGUGCCACAUGUGCCGUGACAGCAAAACCGCCCGCUCCGCGCCGCUGGUGAAAGAGCUAACGAACGCCAGGUGCUGCGACAGUGACACCGGGACUAGAAGGCCUCGGAUGGAGAAUGGGACGCCCAGAGCAAGCAGGAAAACGUUUUGUUUGGCUCAACUAGCGCUGUCGCAACCGGAAAACUGUCAGGCCAGUGCUGCUGCGGAUGUGAGAAACCGGUGAUCCGAAGGCGGAGUGGCGCUGGGCGCUGGACUCGCUGGUGUGAAAAUCUGGCUGCUCUAGGACCCGGCAAGCGCGGGCACCAGGCGAACGCCAGCGACUUUGCCAGACAAAUGCAUGUCUUUUUUGGUCGCCAUUCAAAGAUGCAGCCGGCAGUCAGCCCCGGCUCUGAGAAACAAGUGGAGGUGUCAGCCAUAAACCCUCCGUUCAGGGAAAAGAGAGUCGCUGCGACGGAUCGACUGGCCGUUGGGUGGAACUUUCUUUGGUGGCCUAGUGACUAGAAAAUAAAAACGAAAACGAAAUAAAAAACUGCUACUGACAUUACUCCCACGCUCCCUCCUCAAGUCAGUGGCUUCAGGCUUAAGAAAACCUGUAUUUUUCUUGGCUGAUCCGUGAUCCCUAAUUACUGAGGGCCCCGCGACCCACCAAGUGCGAUUCGCAGAGGGAAAGGAGCUGGAAUAAGGAUCCAGAAUGGGACGGAUUUGGCUCCUCCAGGAAGAAAGCAAAACAAAUGCAGGUCGCGAACACUUUACAUUGCAGGAAGCUGCUCUUCCAGUGGCCGCGGCUGGGUCCUUCCACACCACCUCUCUGUCCUAGGCCUUCGUCCCGGUUCAGCCCUCACGGAUUCUAGGCUAGCGGUCAACAACCGCAUCCCUCCGGAACCUGGAAACUCUAGGUCCGAGAUCUCGGUGAAGAAUGAAAGGCACAGCGCCGCUCAACCCAGGCUUCAGGCCUGCCCCGCUGGUCCCGUCCCUUCCCUGUGGGAUGGAACUCUGUGGGAAUCGCUCCUUAUUCUGAUGGUUCACUCAUUCAGAUGUCCUUGAUAUUUGGGGAUAUUUCUAAAACAGCUGGGGAGAAAAAUGGACUGCGAGGCUCCGGUGUUGGACGUGAAAUUGGCAGUGAGACAUCCGCCUCUAAGCCCAGGGAAAAGCUUAAAUUGUGGUUCUCUGUCUCUAGCACCGUGAUCUUUGAAAUGCGUUAUUGAUUUUCUUCUUUCUUCUGGGAAAUGCAAUGCAGGUGAACUUUACUAUCCUUUUCUGGGGGAUCCUAGGCAGAAGCGAUGGCAGGACAAAGGCAGAGAAGGCACUGCCAGGUCCUGCAUGCCAGUAAAACUACUCAUGUCAGCUGUUCUGCAGGAUCCCAUGAGAAGCCUCUCACCCUCCACAAUCCCCUUAAAAACUGUAGCCCAGAACUCUCUGGAAUGAUGAAUUUGAAGGUUUGCUCCUGUCUCCUCACUCAGAAGCCUGUAAUCAUUAAACUCUUUCUCUGAUGCA